UACGUAGGUCCCGAGCGUUGUCCGGAUUUAUUGGGCGUAAAGCGAGCGCAGGUGGUUUAUUAAGUCUGGUGUAAAAGGCAGUGGCUUAACCAUUGUAUGCAUUGGAAACUGGUAGACUUGAGUGCAGGAGAGGAGAGUGGAAUUCCAUGUGUAGCGGUGAAAUGCGUAGAUAUAUGGAGGAACACCGGUGGCGAAGGCGGCUCUCUGGACUGUAACUGACACUGAGGCACGAAAGCGUGGGGAGCAAACAGG
RNAcentral lists this ribosomal RNA (252 nucleotides) under uncultured bacterium. RNAcentral describes it as "partial 16S ribosomal RNA". It matches the Rfam family "Bacterial small subunit ribosomal RNA", at positions 524 to 776 of the family's 1533-position model. The record is from RNAcentral.